RNAcentral lists this ribosomal RNA (492 nucleotides) under uncultured bacterium. RNAcentral describes it as "partial 16S ribosomal RNA". It matches the Rfam family "Bacterial small subunit ribosomal RNA", at positions 29 to 507 of the family's 1533-position model. The record is from RNAcentral.
AGUGAACGCUGGCGGUAGGCCUAACACAUGCAAGUCGAACGGCGGCACAGUAAGAGCUUGCUCUUACGGGUGGCGAGUGGCGGACGGGUGAGGAAUACAUCGGAAUCUACUUUUUCGUGGGGGAUAACGUAGGGAAACUUACGCUAAUACCGCAUACGACCUACGGGUGAAAGCAGGGGAUCUUCGGACCUUGCGCGAUUGAAUGAGCCGAUGUCGGAUUAGCUAGUUGGCGCGGUAAAGGCCCACCAAGGCGACGAUCCGUAGCUGGUCUGAGAGGAUGAUCAGCCACACUGGAACUGAGACACGGUCCAGACUCCUACGGGAGGCAGCAGUGGGGAAUAUUGGACAAUGGGCGCAAGCCUGAUCCAGCCAUACCGCGUGGGUGAAGAAGGCCUUCGGGUUGUAAAGCCCUUUUGUUGGGAAAGAAAAGCAGCAGGUUAAUACCCCGCUGUUCUGACGGUACCCAAAGAAUAAGCACCGGCUAACUUCGUG